AUUGAACGCUGGCGGCAUGCCUUACACAUGCAAGUCGAACGGCAGCACGGGUGCUUGCACCUGGUGGCGAGUGGCGAACGGGUGAGUAAUACAUCGGAACGUACCUUAUCGUGGGGGAUAACGCAGCGAAAGCUGUGCUAAUACCGCAUACGCCCUGAGGGGGAAAGCGGGGGAUCGCAAGACCUCGCGCGAUCAGAGCGGCCGAUGCCUGAUUAGCUAGUUGGUGGGGUAAAAGCCCACCAAGGCGACGAUCAGUAGCUGGUCUGAGAGGACGAUCAGCCACACUGGGACUGAGACACGGCCCAGACUCCUACGGGAGGCAGCAGUGGGGAAUUUUGGACAAUGGGGGCAACCCUGAUCCAGCAAUGCCGCGUGAGUGAAGAAGGCCUUCGGGUUGUAAAGCUCUUUUGUCAGGGAAGAAACACCGGCUCUAGCACAGUCCGGGAAUGACGGUACCUGAAGAAUAAGCACCGGCUAACUACGUGCCAGCCGCCGCCGUAA
RNAcentral lists this ribosomal RNA (501 nucleotides) under uncultured bacterium. RNAcentral's name for it is "partial 16S ribosomal RNA". It matches the Rfam family "Bacterial small subunit ribosomal RNA", at positions 29 to 523 of the family's 1533-position model. The record is from RNAcentral.